GACGAACGCUGGCGGCGUGCCUAAUACAUGCAAGUAGAACGCUGAAGGAGGAGCUUGCUUCUCUGGAUGAGUUGCGAACGGGUGAGUAACGCGUAGGUAACCUGCCUGGUAGCGGGGGAUAACUAUUGGAAACGAUAGCUAAUACCGCAUAAUAGUAGAUGUUGCAUGACAUUUGCUUAAAAGGUGCAAUUGCAUCACUACCAGAUGGACCUGCGUUGUAUUAGCUAGUUGGUGGGGUAACGGCUCACCAAGGCGACGAUACAUAGCCGACCUGAGAGGGUGAUCGGCCACACUGGGACUGAGACACGGCCCAGACUCCUACGGGAGGCAGCAGUAGGGAAUCGUCGGCAAUGGACGGAAGUCUGACCGAGCAACGCCGCGUGAGUGAAGAAGGUUUUCGGAUCGUAAAGCUCUGUUGUAAGAGAAGAACGAGUGUGAGAGUGGAAAGUUCACACUGUGACGGUAUCUUACCAGAAAGGGACGGCUAACUACGUG
RNAcentral lists this ribosomal RNA (495 nucleotides) under uncultured bacterium. Its description in RNAcentral is "partial 16S ribosomal RNA". It matches the Rfam family "Bacterial small subunit ribosomal RNA", at positions 28 to 507 of the family's 1533-position model. The record is from RNAcentral.